AGUAUGCUGGUUGGGCCGCAUAGGGUAGAGCUUGGUGCAGUUGGCUGCAUGUAAGAGAAAAUAAUGAAGGCUGCGUCUAGUCUUGCUAGAACUUGCUAGAACCUUGCCUCACGAAUAGGGCACGAGAGACUGAGAACCACUGGUCUGGACGAAAGGGACGACCACAGAGACAGGACUCUUCCGUGCUUGAAGCCGGAGACAGAUAAUUGGAUGGCACACGCGCACACAGGGGGACAUUUGGACACAGACACCUGCCCCACGAGGAGAGCACCAUGUGAUGAUGAAGGCAGAGAUCAAGGCGAUGCAUCUACAAGCCAAGGAAUGCCAGAGGUGGCUAGCAAACCAGCGGCGGUAUGAGAGAGGCCUGCAACGGAUUGUCCCUUGCAGACCCUCCCUCAGGAGGAAGUAGCCCUGUGGGCGCCCUUAUCCUGGAGGUCCGGCCUCCAGAACUGGAAGACAAUACAUUUCUGCUGUCUAAGCCA
Felis catus (domestic cat) is the source of this 482-nucleotide long non-coding RNA. RefSeq lists it as uncharacterized. The transcript is spliced from 3 exons. Lineage: Eukaryota; Metazoa; Chordata; Mammalia; Carnivora; Felidae. The record is from RefSeq and is a predicted model, not a curated record.